GUAAAAUAAAAUAAAAUAACUGCUAAUAAAUAAUUAAUCUUCUCACUGCGUGGACUUCACGUUUCCUGCUUUGGUCGAUCGCCGGCGGAUUGCACUUCGGAGAAGUCGCCGAAGAGAGCCUCUGCGAUUAGCUAGGUUUUGUCGCCGGGGGAAGUUAUAGGGUUCUUUUGGAAAGAGAGUAAGAUUCGGUGGUCGGCGGAUGAGAUAUCAAUUGCGGCGAAGGAAAAUAAUAUACGAAUCGCUAGCUCUUUCUUUGCACGGUGAAUCUUCCAUUGGAUUUAGUGGAUAAUGGAUAAUGAAGAGAAGUCUGUAUACCAUGAGCGACAAAAAUUACAGUUUUGCUUGUUGCACACUGUCAACAAUCUGUUCCAGGAGAAUGAAGCAUUCACCCGGGAAAAUUUGAAUGGUCGCUUUCGAUUGAUUAUAUCCUUUACAAAUUUAGCGUAAUGUGGCAUUUGCAAUAAAGUAUCAGCAAAUGGUAUUGUGACUUUAAGACUACGGCAAGUAUGUAUAAACUUUUCAAACUCCUUGGAAUUGUGCUUCUUCCCAAACCUGGUUGGAAAAAGGGCCCUGGUUAUCGCUUGAGCGGGGGCUUUUUUCGUUUGUUCAGGUAAAUUAACAACAAUAGGGGUAGAAGAGAAGUUAGUAUCUCUGUCUGGCAGUGGUGGCGAUUGCGUCCGCUUUCCACCCCUUGUUUCGUUAGCCUUCCGUUGGUUCGGAAUAGUCUCGACUGUCCAAGGCAACGUUCCCUUUUACUUAAGCUCCAUAGCUUAGGCUGUUUGCCCAACUUGAAUAUCUUGCAUCUUGAUCGAGACAAAUGUAUUACGUUGGAACUCAUGAUUUGCUUGCUCGGUAUUUCUCCAGAGUUCAUCCAGACUCAGCGGCUAUUGAGCUGCUGUGGGAGGUUGAGCGAAACAGGUGCUGCUGCGGAAAAUGGGGGGUCUGCAAAUAUUGUUGUUGUGGAUAAAAUCCCCCCUGAUAAUAUUGUUGCGAAGCGAACAGCUGCGGCUGUUGAAAUUGUUGUUGAGGAUGUAGUCUAGCGGGUCCUUGAAGGUGCCCCUUCUGAAACUGCUGAAAAUGAGGAGCAUUUCUAUUUGCCAUGUAGAAAACCUCCGCUGAGUUCUGAGUCUGCUCAGUAGAGCUCUCAGCGACCUGCGGGCUAGAUUGGUUAACAUAGGCGCACUCCUUAGUAACCACAACCUCGCCCACUACCUGUUUCCCCUUGUUACCGAGGUCCUGCUUCACGAGCUUGGAAAGCUCUUUGAUUUGAACCGACAGGCUAUCGAUCCUAGCGUCUUGUGAGACCGUAGCAGAAACCUGGUAGAGACCCCUUGAUGGCUUUGCCCAACUUGUUUGAUUGGUUGCCAUCUUUUCUAUCAAAGCCUUCGCUUCUAAAGCACAGUGCCCGAGCUACUUGCCGCGGCAUCCAGAGACAUCCUCAAUUCUGGAGUGAUCCCCGAGUAGAAGAUCUGGAGCUCCAUAAAGUCAGGAAUCUCGUGAUGAGGGCAGUUGCAGAGCAGCUGCUUGUAGCAGCUCCAGGCUUUGGGCAGGGUUUCAUUACUAGCCAUUUUGAAACUCAGUAUCUCAUUCCUUUGGCUGAUGGUCUUUGAAUAGGAUGAUAUUUACUUACGAAGGCCUACGCUGCUUCUUUAAAACUGACAUGAAUGGGGUAGAGGUUAUCAAACCACUUUCUUGCCUUUCAUGAUAGAGAAAAGGUUAACAGAAUUAGCUUUGCAGCGUCUUCCGUGAUGCCGUGUGACUUAGAGGUGGCGGCGAUCUCGUUGAAGUUCUGCAGAUGAUCGUACGGGUUUUCAUUGAGCAGCCCAUGAAAUUGGUUCUGGCUGGCCAGGCUUACAAGCGCCGGCUUCACCUCAUAAUUCCCAGAGCCUCGGGACUUCAGCAAGUGGGCGAUCAACAACCCUUUGUCCCUGUUGCAUCUAGUUAGGCUCAGUAGUAGAUGGAGGGGGAGCGAUGAUGGUGGGUGUCGCAGUGGCGUGAGUUGGGAAGCGAUAAACGCGGCCUGAGCGGCUUGAGUUUUCUCAACCAGAACGAGGUGUGCUUGUAGUCCAACCAUCCGCUGCUGGUUGCUAGUGAGCGUUCUAACAAGCUGCUCUUCGGUAGCUGUUAGGACAUGGGGGACAACAGUAGGCUGGACUACAGUGGUGAUCUGAAGCGGCACCUCCUGCGACGAUGUAGAUGUGGCAGAGUUAAAAGAAGUCCCAGCGACAGUCUGGAAAGUUGGGACAACAGUGGAGGAAGCAGCGACAUUUCCUUGGUUUGCCAUUAUCCUUUCUCUUGUUAGUUCUCUAAACAGAUGUCUCUGCGUACGAGAAAAAGGAGUUGGACUGGUUGAACGUUGAAAACGCUUCGAACCCCUGCAUAAAGAUUGCCACACCAAAUAAAAAUUUUAAAAUAUACAACAAAGGAAUCAUAAAACAACGAAACGAAAUUACAGAAUUUUAAAAGUAAAUCAUGGCGCAUCACUAGAUCAUUUUAAGAUUUUUAAUUUCUUGAGUUUAAAAUCCCCGAAAACGGCGCCAAAUUAUGACAUGCACAAUUUUGUAUAUUCAAGUACAAAGAGUUUUUAGUCGAAAGUAAGGUGUAAUGGACUAUUGUGAGCGGUCAGAUAUAGAUAAAAAUAUGUAGUUGUAGACCCUUAAUCGUUUAUCAUAAUUAUUUAUUCUCUUUGACUAGUGAGUUUUCAGGUCGAACACAAGAAUUUUAAGUUGUGAAAUUUAAUCAAGAUUUAAUCCAAUGAAAAGCAAUGAGAAAGCGAUAAAGAGACCCGCUCGUGAGCGAGUCCAAAAACAGAACUAAAAAUAACAAAAAUUAAGGAAGACGGUAAAGAUGAGCGGGGUGAGCAAAACGAUGGUUAGUAAAGUCAGUGCAAGCGGUAGAUGAGCGGAAGGGAGCACGAGCGAUAGGUGCGAUAUAUAUUUAUAUAUUUUGAGCGGUCGAGGAUGAUGAAGAGGCGAUGUGUCUGGGUUGUGCGUUCCUUAAUGACUAGAUUAUCCUGGAUGAAAUGAGCGAAUGGGGAUGGUGCUUAAUUGAAGAAUAUAUGUAUAAUUUGUGGGCGAUAGAAGGUAGUAAUGUAAUCAUAUAAACAAAAUCAUACAAAACUUAAAUCGCUGAUACUUGACCUUAAGGGAUUUACAACAAGACUUCAAUGAUGCCCAUAAUUAGAACAUUAUAAAAAAGAACCCCUACUGUCACUAGAAAUUCCUGCGACCCAAUAGACCACCGCCUAUGCCCCAUUAAUUAUUCCAAUUUAUGUCUCAUUAGUAGCUUUACCCUUAUGUUACCUCUUUUUAAUCAAAAUCGAAUUCAGAUCAGUAAUUAAGCAGUUCGACAAAGCUUUCGCGUACUUAAAUACAUUGAACUACCAUGAGUCUGUUUGUGACGCAAAACAAGGCUUAGAUAGUCGAUUCUUCUCUGUUCUUUCUCAGCGAUUCGAGAUUCUUUAUAACUCAAAUUUAUAUGAAUAUGAAAAUGGAAAAAAAAUGGGGAUAAAGAACAAUUGAUAUUUCAUUACUUACUACUUAAAACAGUAAAGUUCUAGUACUAAAAAAAGUUGAAAAUAAAAGCCGAAAACUAAAACUAAAAAGCCGUAGAGUAGCGGCCAGAUGAGGAGAAAAGUCUCGACUCCCCUGGCCAUUCCUGCUGAGAACUUCUUUACAGGGUUGGAGCUCUCGGGAGGCAGGAAGGCAGCUACGAAAUGUGCAUAAGAAGAUAUGAAUGUAUAUUCUUCUCUGAGUUUUUUUUUUUACAAUAGACAUCUUGCUCCAUUUAUACUAGUUGAAAUAGCAGUUGCGAGCAAUUGAGAAGUGGUUUCAACCGCUGAGCAGUUAGGCAGUUGGCGGCGGUUAUUCUGUUAAAGCAGUUGCGCUGGCCAUAACUCCUACGGUGCUCACUUCGCUUGCCUUGGCUUGUGGGGUGCUGAUCUUCCUCGCUUGCCCAGAUGGCUGAAGGGCAUUAGCGCAGCUAAGCGGAACUGUCCUUACUGGCUGGUAGUGGAAUGGCUAUUCCGCUGCGGGUUGGACACUUAGGCAUUUUCAGCAGUGAGUUUCCGUCGCUUCGCUGCGGUAGGUAUCUGGGUCACUGGUAUGACUGAUGAAGGCUUCACUUAUUGAGCGGACGGGGCCGUCGCUUCCUUCUUAUGCCUUAGCUUUUCUGGGCCAGAAUCACCGCUUAAAGAGCCAAAAAACGUUAAUAAUCUCAACAAACUAAUUCUGGAUCAUGCCAUGCGAAAUAGAUCAAUAAAGUAUGCCAUAAAUAAGUUAUUGUGAUGAUUUUCAUACCGAAAUGCAAGUAAUACAUAGUUUUUUUAAGCAGAGAAUAUGCUCAUAUUUGGAGUUAUCACAUUCUCAUCCAAAAGUACUUACGCUCUCCAUAUCUACACACUACAUUGCAUUGCAUUUUGGCGAUAUGUUCGAUUCAUGUAACUCAUUUCUACGUGUAUGUAUAUGUUUGUGUAUAUAUAAUGUGACAUGGUAUCGGGUGACCCGAACCCGAAUAUCGGCGGACCAGUCGUGACCCGUACCCGAUCAAAGACAUUACUUUGUUUAGAGAUUAUGAACCGUUGAUUUUUAGAUUAGAUGUAUGGUCCAGAUUAGAUUAGAUCUUCUUAGCAUAUAUUCCUUAUAUUCUAAUUGUAAAACAUUCAUUCCAUACA
RNA transcript from Andrographis paniculata, 4672 nucleotides. RefSeq lists it as uncharacterized. The transcript is spliced from 5 exons. The record is from RefSeq and is a predicted model, not a curated record. Lineage: Eukaryota; Viridiplantae; Streptophyta; Magnoliopsida; Lamiales; Acanthaceae.